GACCAGGGUAGACUUAGUUGGUAGAGCACAAGACUCUUAAUCGUAGGGUUGUGGGUUCAAGCCCCACGUUGGGCA
Non-coding RNA from Podarcis lilfordi (Lilford's wall lizard), 75 nucleotides. Lineage: Eukaryota; Metazoa; Chordata; Lepidosauria; Squamata; Lacertidae. The record is from the annotation of a GenBank genome assembly.